Molecule: unclassified non-coding RNA, 253 nt
Filed under: uncultured Caryophanales bacterium
Lineage: Bacteria; Bacillati; Bacillota; Bacilli; Caryophanales
Description: uncultured Bacillales bacterium contains 16S-23S intergenic spacer region
Rfam family: Bacterial small subunit ribosomal RNA
Source: RNAcentral
UACGUAGGGGGCAAGCGUUGUCCGGAAUUAUUGGGCGUAAAGCGCGCGCAGGCGGUCCUUUAAGUCUGAUGUGAAAUCUCGCGGCUCAACCGCAAGCGGGCAUUGGCAACUGGGGGACUUGAGUACAGAAGAGGAGGGCGGAAUUCCACGUGUAGCGGUGAAAUGCGUAGAGAUGUGGAGGAACACCGGUGGCGAAGGCGGCGCUCUGGUCUGUAACUGACGCUGAGGCGCGAAAGCGUGGGGAGCAAACAGG